Molecule: ribosomal RNA, 778 nt
Filed under: uncultured Bacillota bacterium
Lineage: Bacteria; Bacillati; Bacillota
Description: bacterial SSU rRNA
Rfam family: Bacterial small subunit ribosomal RNA
Source: RNAcentral
CGUAAAGGGCGCGCAGGCGGUCUCUUAAGUCUGAUGUGAAAGGCCACGGCUCAACCGUGGGAUGGCAUUGGAAACUGGGGGACUUGAGUGCAGGAGAGGGGAGCGGAAUUCCCGGUGUAGCGGUGAAAUGCGUAGAGAUCGGGAGGAACACCAGUGGCGAAGGCGGCUCUCUGGCCUGUAACUGACGCUGAGGCGCGAAAGCGUGGGGAGCGAACAGGAUUAGAUACCCUGGUAGUCCACGCCGUAAACGAUGAGUGCUAGGUGUUAGGGGCGUCACGCCCUUAGUGCCGAAGUAAACACAUUAAGCACUCCGCCUGGGGAGUACGGCCGCAAGGCUGAAACUCAAAGGAAUUGACGGGGGCCCGCACAAGCGGUGGAGCAUGUGGUUUAAUUCGAAGCAACGCGAAGAACCUUACCAGGGCUUGACAUCCUCUGACCCCUCUAGAGAUAGAGGUUUCCCUUCGGGGACAGAGAGACAGGUGGUGCAUGGUUGUCGUCAGCUUGUGUCGUGAGAUGUUGGGUUAAGUCCCGCAACGAGCGCAACCCUUGAGCUUAGUUGCCAGCAUUGAGUUGGGCACUCUAAGCUGACUGCCAGUGACAAGCUGGAGGAAGGUGGGGAUGACGUCAAAUCAUCAUGCCCCUUAUGUCCUGGGCGACACACGUGCUACGAUGGCUGGUACAGAGGGCAGCGAAGCGGUGACGCGGAGCCAAUCCCUAGAAAGCCAGUCUCAGUUCGGAUCGCAGGCUGCAACUCGCCUGCGUGAAGGAGGAAUCGCUA